GAUGAAGAACGUAGCGAAAUGCGAUAAGUAAUGCGAAUUGCAGAAUUCAGUGAGUCAUCGAAUCUUUGAACGCACAUUGCGCCCGCCAGUAUUCUGGCGGGCAUGCCUGUUCGAGCGUCAUUACAACCCUCAGGCCCCCGGGCCUGGCGUUGGGGAUCGGCGGAGCCCCCCGUGGGCACACGCCGUCCCCCAAAUACAGUGGCGGUCCCGCCGCAGCUUCCAUCGCGUAGUAGCUAACACCUCGCGACUGGAGAGCGGCGCGGCCACGCCGUAAAACACCCAACUCUUCUGAAGUUGACCUCGAAUCAGGUAGGAAUACCCGCUGAACUUAAGCAUAUCAAUAAGCGGAGGA
This 352-nucleotide unclassified non-coding RNA is filed under the name soil metagenome. Its description in RNAcentral is "partial contains 5.8S ribosomal RNA, internal transcribed spacer 2, and large subunit ribosomal RNA". The stretch from base 1 to 120 matches the Rfam family "5.8S ribosomal RNA", at positions 35 to 154 of the family's 154-position model. The record is from RNAcentral.